AGCCCAUCUCUCCUCCUUCAUUACUCUCACCACCCAUUCCUCUGCUUCAACAACAACCAGGAACCCUCAGGACAAAAAAAGUUUUCCAAUUUCAGAACCUGGUUUUGCUACUUUGACAAGGAACAACUGAAGUAAACUAGUUUAGCAGGAUUUUAUACAGUGGAGAAAGAGGAAAGAGAAAACAAAACUAAAUCAACAGAGCAUCAAAUCUAAUGUAGCAGAAGCAAGUCACAGGUUCUUUUAGGAAAGAGAGAGAGAGAGAGAAGCCUAGGAUAAAUGCUUAUUCGUACUCAAGUCAAGCGAAGAAAAAUAAUUAAAGAGAACAAAUAGACUUAUCAUAGACAAAGAAAGCUGAGAACUUUCAGAGCAUAAAGUGGUAACAAGCAAUGGAUUUAGCUAAGUUACAGCUCACAAGAGAAAAAUAAAAAGGAAAAGAGAGAAAAAAAAAAGUAGAUUCGCUUUUAAGAGUGUGAGAGAGCAAAGUCACUAUCUCAUAAACCAAUCUCUUCAGUUUUUCAAGAAACAAAAAAAAAAAGAUUAGACCUUUCACAUAUGAAUGUGUGUGUGAGAUCAGAGAAGCAAGAAUUUUUGGGAAUUAAGGUAAUGGAGACAAGCCCUGUUAGAGAUACUCCAAGAUUGUGGUUGCUUUGGAAAGAGAGAGUACAAAAGAAGAAGAAUCAAAUUCUUGGGUGGGGAGUUUACAAUCACUGUUAAACCUAAAUCAGAUAAAUGAGGGAAGAG
Arabidopsis thaliana (thale cress) is the source of this 741-nucleotide long non-coding RNA. RefSeq annotates it as other RNA. The transcript has a single exon. The record is from RefSeq. Lineage: Eukaryota; Viridiplantae; Streptophyta; Magnoliopsida; Brassicales; Brassicaceae.